Callithrix jacchus (white-tufted-ear marmoset) is the source of this 300-nucleotide unclassified non-coding RNA. It matches the Rfam family "Metazoan signal recognition particle RNA". Rfam says of the family: The signal recognition particle (SRP) is a universally conserved ribonucleoprotein. It is involved in the co-translational targeting of proteins to membranes. Lineage: Eukaryota; Metazoa; Chordata; Mammalia; Primates; Cebidae. The record is from Ensembl.
GCUGGGCACAGUGCCGUGUACCUGUAGUCCCAGCUACUUGGGAGGCUAAGAUGGGAUUAUUGCUUGAGCCCAGGAGUUCUGGGCUGUAGGGUGCUAUGCCGAUCAGGUGUCUGCCCUAAGUUCAGCAUCAAUGUGGUGACCUCCUGGGAGCAGGGGACCACCAGGUUGCCUAAGGAGGGGUGAACCGGCCCAGGUCGGAAAUGGAGCAGGUCAAAACUCCUGUGCUGAUCAGUAGUGGGAUCGCACCUGUGAAUAGCCACUGCACUCCAACCUGGGAAACAUAGUGAGACCCCAUCUCUU